Molecule: transfer RNA, 85 nt
Filed under: Felis catus (domestic cat)
Lineage: Eukaryota; Metazoa; Chordata; Mammalia; Carnivora; Felidae
Rfam family: tRNA
About the family: Transfer RNA (tRNA) molecules are approximately 80 nucleotides in length. Their secondary structure includes four short double-helical elements and three loops (D, anti-codon, and T loops). Further hydrogen bonds mediate the characteristic L-shaped molecular structure. tRNAs have two regions of fundamental functional importance: the anti-codon, which is responsible for specific mRNA codon recognition, and the 3' end, to which the tRNAs corresponding amino acid is attached (by aminoacyl-tRNA synthetases). tRNAs cope with the degeneracy of the genetic code in two manners: having more than one tRNA (with a specific anti-codon) for a particular amino acid; and 'wobble' base-pairing, i.e. permitting non-standard base-pairing at the 3rd anti-codon position.
Source: Rfam by way of RNAcentral
GCCUGGGUGGCUCAGUCAGUUGAGCGCCUGACUUCAGCUCAGGUCAUGAUCUCGUGGUUCGUGAGUUCAAGCCCCACGUUGGGCU